This 90-nucleotide transfer RNA is filed under the name Duganella callida. RNAcentral's name for it is "Duganella sp. DN04 tRNA-Ser". It matches the Rfam family "tRNA". From Rfam's summary of the family: Transfer RNA (tRNA) molecules are approximately 80 nucleotides in length. Their secondary structure includes four short double-helical elements and three loops (D, anti-codon, and T loops). The record is from RNAcentral. Lineage: Bacteria; Pseudomonadati; Pseudomonadota; Betaproteobacteria; Burkholderiales; Oxalobacteraceae. RNAcentral also lists the same sequence under 2 other names.
GGAGAGGUGGCAGAGUGGUCGAUUGUACUUGACUCGAAAUCAAGCGAUGGGGCAACCCAUCCGUGGGUUCGAAUCCCACCCUCUCCGCCA